Molecule: ribosomal RNA, 253 nt
Filed under: uncultured bacterium
Lineage: Bacteria
Description: partial 16S ribosomal RNA
Rfam family: Bacterial small subunit ribosomal RNA
Source: RNAcentral
GACGAACCGUGCGAACGUUGUUCGGAUUCACUGGGCUUAAAGGGCGCGUAGGCGGUCGACCAAGUCUGGGGUGAAAUCUUUCGGCUUAACCGGAAAAGUGCCCCCGAUACUGGCCGGCUAGAGGGAGAUAGGGGCAUGUGGAACUUCCGGUGGAGCGGUGAAAUGCGUAGAUAUCGGAAGGAACGCCGGUGGCGAAAGCGGCGCGCUGGACCUCUUCUGACGCUGAGGCGCGAAAGCCAGGGGAGCAAACGGG